This 705-nucleotide long non-coding RNA is filed under the name Gossypium barbadense (sea-island cotton). RNAcentral's name for it is "long non-coding RNA (GBAR_LNC020161)". Lineage: Eukaryota; Viridiplantae; Streptophyta; Magnoliopsida; Malvales; Malvaceae. The record is from RNAcentral.
GGUAAGUGUGCUAAAUAGAGGGUCCACCAAAAUGCAAAAAUAAAAGGAACUGGUAGAAGCGUUUUACACACGAUAUAUGUGAAGGAAAGGGGUAUUUUCCUUAAGGUAAUUGUAAAUAGGAAUUCGCUAUUAAAAGUCCGCCAGAGUUGAUGUUGAACCAUCAUUGGCUAAGCAUUUACGGAAUAGAGUAUCAUAUUUGAAAUCCUAAUUGAUAAUCGAUAAAAAGGUAGUCAAAAAGUGGAUAGUGCGCCAAAGGACCACGUUAAAGGGAAUGUCCGCCCGAAGCUGAAUGUUCGGUAAAAUUUGUCAGGGAUUUACAAAGAAAGAAGAUGUCUGUCAGGACUUUCUGGCAUGGGAUAGUCCACUUGGACUAACAAUAUAGAAGUUUUCCAAAGACAAUUUAAAGAAGAGAUGGUCCGCGGGGAAGACUAUCUAUUAUUGGGAGCAUCUUGGUAGAAUGGUCUGAAAUAAGGAAGUCUUAUGGGACUAUUUUACAGGUAUGAGUCUGAACUCAAGCCAGAUAGGGUCAAGUCCUAGAAAAAAAAAGGGUGUCUGGAAAAAUAUGAUUACGGCUACACUAGUAGACAUGCCUACCAAAUGGUUAGUUUAGAAUAGGUCAAGGCGUCAACAACGCCAUUCCAAACAUGCGGAAUCUCCUAAAUCAUUCAAGGAGUUUUAUCUCUAUGCAUUAAUUCUUAGUUACCU